This 960-nucleotide long non-coding RNA is filed under the name Lupinus angustifolius (narrow-leaved blue lupine). Its description in RNAcentral is "long non-coding RNA (LANG_LNC003620)". The record is from RNAcentral. Lineage: Eukaryota; Viridiplantae; Streptophyta; Magnoliopsida; Fabales; Fabaceae.
UCACUAUUGCUGAAGAAGCUUAUGUUACCAAGACAAAGAAAAUUGCAGAGGAGAAUGAGUCAUGGCAAUGGCAAACAGCCACCUCUGAUGUCCUAAACUCUGUUAUCAAUAAAAUUCAGCAGCUUAAGGUUCAGCUUGAAUUUAUGGCAAACUUUGAGAAAGCACCAGCUUAACUUGCAGAAUCAUUGGACUUGGAACUCUUGAACUUGAAGCAAAACCUGGCAGAACAUCUUUUGGAGAACAUGAAAAAAUCCAUCUCAUAGAUAGUUAUGAAUCCUCUCAAUCCAACAAAUCAGUCAAUGAGACUUUGAGGCAACUUGAGGUUUCAAAAAGAACUUUAGAGAUCCUAAGGGAUGAUGCUGCAAAAUCUGUACAUAGCUCAAAAAUCCAUAGGUGGACACAGUGCUGGAAUGAAACGUAAUUCAAAGAGAAAAUAGUCACUCAUGAAUUUCAGAGCAGAAUCUCAAGAGAUGGCAAUAAGAAGGUGUAAGUCAGAAGUUUCAGUUACACAAUCAACCUAAAUGACGCUAUUGAUGAGCAAUUUUAAUUGGAAUAAUCAGUAAAUCAAAUCAAUCAUCAGAGAAUAUCUUCGGUCCUAGCAGUUGUAGUAAGAAGUACAAACCAGAAGUCAUGGCCAUUGGCAUCUCCUAUUUCAGUUAUAGAUGCAAUAAUAAGCAACCCAAAGAGCACCACUACUCAGCUAUAAAAGGAGAGGCAUUACAACCAGAAAAAGGGGGUUCACCACACGAAAAUUAAAGAAAACAGAGCAUAUAUGCAGUGCUGUAAGGAUAAACAACACAGUGAAAGAGGCCAAAUCCCCUCUCAAAAUUCUAACACUACAGCACCUUCUUAGUCAGAAUUUCUCAAUCAACCCCACUAAAACUUGUCAUCCUCUCUUUAUCCUACCAUCCCUAAAAAUUCCACGAUAUCAUACAUAUAUCAUAUACACCACACUCAGCA